UAUUGAUCGAAGUGUAGACGUUUCUUCGAAGAUCGAAUUUAGACCAUCGGAAAGCUUGGAAAUGCAACUAAAACUUUGCAUCCUUAGCUUUCGUUCACUUUUAACUGCAGGUUAGCCUGUCAAUGUUGUUAUAAUUUACCUGAAAAUCAGCUCAAAUCAUCUGGAAAUUUACCUGAAAUUAGGUAUGAACAAAUAUUGGGGGGGGGGGGGGGUUACACUUCCCUCUACCCCCUCCCCGCCGGUUGCUACGGCCCUACCCAGACGCGUUGCUACCACUGUUUAUAUUGUACACAUAGGUUGUGGGAUUGACUAAAGCUAAAUUUUGUAUUAAGUGAACUGAGUGGCAAGGGGCAUAUACAGUAAG
Molecule: non-coding RNA, 364 nt
Organism: Paramuricea clavata
Lineage: Eukaryota; Metazoa; Cnidaria; Anthozoa; Malacalcyonacea; Plexauridae
Source: the annotation of a GenBank genome assembly